UACGUAGGGUGCAAGCGUUGUCCGGAAUUAUUGGGCGUAAAGAGCUCGUAGGCGGUCUGUCGCGUCUGCUGUGAAAAUCCAGGGCUCAACCCUGGACCUGCAGUGGGUACGGGCAGACUAGAGUGCGGUAGGGGAGAUCGGAAUUCCUGGUGUAGCGGUGAAAUGCGCAGAUAUCAGGAGGAACACCGGUGGCGAAGGCGGCUCACUGGCCCGAUACUGACGCUGAGGCACGAAAGCGUGGGGAGCAAACAGG
Molecule: ribosomal RNA, 253 nt
Filed under: uncultured bacterium
Lineage: Bacteria
Description: partial 16S ribosomal RNA
Rfam family: Bacterial small subunit ribosomal RNA
Source: RNAcentral